GACGAACGCUGGCGGCGUGCCUAAUACAUGCAAGUCGAACGCAGUGGGGACGGGUGAGUAACACGUGGGUAACCUCCCAUCAGAGGGGAUAACACUUGGAAACUGGUGCUAAACCGAUACUGAUGGAUGGACCCGCUGUGCAUUAGCUAGUUGGUGAGGUAACGGCUCACCAAGGCCACGAUGCAUAGCCGACCUGAGAGGAGGAUCGGCCACACUGGGACAGAGAAACGGCCCAGACUCCUACGGGAGGCAUCAGUAGGGAAUCUUCGGCAAUGGACGAAAGGCUGACCGAGCAACGCCGCGUGAGUGAAGAAGGUUUUCGGAUCGUAAAGCUCUGUUGUUAGAGAAGCGGUAUCUAACCAGAAAGCCACGGCUAACUACGUGCCAGCAGCCGCGGUAAUAC
This 403-nucleotide ribosomal RNA is filed under the name uncultured bacterium. Its description in RNAcentral is "partial 16S ribosomal RNA". It matches the Rfam family "Bacterial small subunit ribosomal RNA", at positions 28 to 526 of the family's 1533-position model. The record is from RNAcentral.